UGCCUAAUACAUGCAAGUCGAGCGAAUGGAUUAAGAGCUUGCUCUUAUGAAGUUAGCGGCGGACGGGUGAGUAACACGUGGGUAACCUGCCCAUAAGACUGGGAUAACUCCGGGAAACCGGGGCUAAUACCGGAUAACAUUUUGAACCGCAUGGUUCGAAAUUGAAAGGCGGCUUCGGCUGUCACUUAUGGAUGGACCCGCGUCGCAUUAGCUAGUUGGUGAGGUAACGGCUCACCAAGGCAACGAUGCGUAGCCGACCUGAGAGGGUGAUCGGCCACACUGGGACUGAGACACGGCCCAGACUCCUACGGGAGGCAGCAGUAGGGAAUCUUCCGCAAUGGACGAAAGUCUGACGGAGCAACGCCGCGUGAGUGAUGAAGGCUUUCGGGUCGUAAAACUCUGUUGUUAGGGAAGAACAAGUGCUAGUUGAAUAAGCUGGCACCUUGACGGUACCUAACCAGAAAGCCACGGCUAACUACGUGCCAGCAGCCGCGGUAAUACGUAGGUGGCAAGCGUUAUCCGGAAUUAUUGGGCGUAAAGCGCGCGCAGGUGGUUUCUUAAGUCUGAUGUGAAAGCCCACGGCUCAACCGUGGAGGGUCAUUGGAAACUGGGAGACUUGAGUGCAGAAGAGGAAAGUGGAAUUCCAUGUGUAGCGGUGAAAUGCGUAGAGAUAUGGAGGAACACCAGUGGCGAAGGCGACUUUCUGGUCUGUAACUGACACUGAGGCCGCGAAAAGCGUGGGGAAGAAAACAAGAUUAGAUACCCUGGUAGUCCACNCCGUAAA
Molecule: ribosomal RNA, 784 nt
Filed under: Bacillus sp. AQ11
Lineage: Bacteria; Bacillati; Bacillota; Bacilli; Caryophanales; Bacillaceae
Description: bacterial SSU rRNA
Rfam family: Bacterial small subunit ribosomal RNA
Source: RNAcentral